UGUAAAACCACAAGUCUCAAACAGUAGUGCUAUGCACAAAGAGCUUUUGAAAGCCAUUUUCAUUUUAUCUAUCGUCAAGGAGACGCAGCAUAUACCUGUAUGCUGCAUUUCGGCUCGUCUUCUGCUUACAUACUCGAUGAAGCAAGCACACCAUUCGCUUUCUUGGAGCAUUUGAUUCCAGACACCCUCAACUAAUGAAUGUCACAACCAAUGUGUGGUGGGGUUCCACCGAAGAAACUUUAAUGUACACGACUCAAGAUUAUGCGUGUGGUGUUGUAAAGGUGAAGUUAUUAAAUCAAGGUGGUGGGGUUCAUUAUGAACUCCGCGUAAGAAAUCGUUCAGUGGAAUGUCCUGAUAAUCAGUGCAAAAAAUACUACCGUAAGGCUACCUUGAAGUGGCGCCGGAAAACCAUUUACAGCCCAGAAUGCCAACAUAUGCUUGUCACCAAAAGGAGCAAACUUCGUUAAAGCGUUCCUUACAUCAGCCUUAUGUUUCAUGGUAAAUGUCUUACACACAUAAACGUUUCGUAUUACAAACGAAA
Molecule: long non-coding RNA, 541 nt
Organism: Rhipicephalus microplus (southern cattle tick)
Lineage: Eukaryota; Metazoa; Arthropoda; Arachnida; Ixodida; Ixodidae
Source: RefSeq, a predicted model, not a curated record